RNAcentral lists this unclassified non-coding RNA (376 nucleotides) under soil metagenome. RNAcentral describes it as "partial contains 5.8S ribosomal RNA, internal transcribed spacer 2, and large subunit ribosomal RNA". The stretch from base 1 to 120 matches the Rfam family "5.8S ribosomal RNA", at positions 35 to 154 of the family's 154-position model. The record is from RNAcentral.
GAUGAAGAACGUAGCGAAAUGCGGUAAGUAAUGUGAAUUGCAGAAUUCAGUGAAUCAUCGAAUCUUUGAACGCAUCUUGCGCUCCUUGGUAUUCUGAGGAGCAUGCCUGUUUGAGUGUCAUUAAAUUCUCAACUACACUGACUUUGAAUUGGUGUGGCUUGGAUUUGGGGGGAAAAUUGUUGUGGGCUUUUUGUAUAGUCUGCUCCCCUGAAAUUGAUUAGCGGUACCUUUGUGGAACUGUCUACAGGUGUGAUAAUUAUCUACAUCUUAGACAUCUGCUGGAAUGCUGCUCUCUAAACCUUACUUGUAUUGACAAUCUUGACCUCAAAUCAGGUAGGACUACCCGCUGAACUUAAGCAUAUCAAUAAGCGGAGGA